RNAcentral lists this long non-coding RNA (373 nucleotides) under Vigna radiata. Its description in RNAcentral is "long non-coding RNA (VRAD_LNC002343)". Lineage: Eukaryota; Viridiplantae; Streptophyta; Magnoliopsida; Fabales; Fabaceae. The record is from RNAcentral.
GUUGAGAUGAGAGAAAAAAUGUUGAAAAUGUUGAGAUGAGAGAGAAAAUAUCUUUCAUGACAACAGUAGGGAUGACAGAGAAAACAUGGAGUGAGAGAGAUGACAGAGAAAAUGUUGAAAAUGUUGGAGCGAGAGAGAUGAAAGAGAAAGGGUUGAGAGGAAUGAAGGGGUGAGUAAGAGUUUAUGGGUUUCUUUUUUUUUUUUUAGUUUUGAGAAUGAAAAUUAUUUAAAUAUCCUUAACCUUAAAACUUAGAAUCCAUGAUAAAUGAGGGUAUUUUUGUCUACUAUAAUCCAGUACGCAUUGUUAAAAUGUACCUUGAAAACAGGCAUACGCGUGUUAACAAACCCAUAUAUAUAUAUAUAUAUAUAUAUA